RNAcentral lists this ribosomal RNA (253 nucleotides) under uncultured bacterium. Its description in RNAcentral is "partial 16S ribosomal RNA". It matches the Rfam family "Bacterial small subunit ribosomal RNA", at positions 524 to 776 of the family's 1533-position model. The record is from RNAcentral.
UACGUAGGGGGCAAGCGUUGUCCGGAAUCAUUGGGCGUAAAGAGCGCGUAGGCGGCCCAGUAAGUCCGCUCUGAAAGUCAGGGGCUCAACCCCUGGAUGCGGGUGGAUACUGCUGGGCUAGAGUCCGGAAGAGGCGAGUGGAAUUCCUGGUGUAGCGGUGAAAUGCGCAGAUAUCAGGAGGAACACCAAUGGCGAAGGCAGCUCGCUGGGACGGUACUGACGCUGAGACGCGAAAGCGUGGGGAGCAAACAGG